AUGUGGUAUAUUAUUUUAAAGAGAUUAAUUCCUUUUCCAUAUUCAUACCUUUAUAGAAUCUCCUUUCAUGCCAACUUUGGACUUGGUCCUGUAACAUACUUUGGCCAAGGGGACAAUUGCAAACAUGAUGGAAAUAGAUUCUUAAAAAGAGCUUGUGCAUUGGGACUUUCCCUCUGUUGCUGUUCUCAUUCAUUCCAAGUACCAUGAGAAGAAGCCCAGGUGAGUGAGUCUGCUCUGGGAUAAGAAACACAACAGCCCAGGAACCUUUGUCACCAAACCAAUAGCCAGCACUGACUGGAACACAGCACCAAUCAAGAAGCUCAAGAUACCAGAUAUUUAAGAGAUACCAUUUUUGAUCAUCUGGUCACUAACUGACGACAAACCACAGACUGUUCUCCUUAGUGGAAAAUGGCUGCUGAGUUUGCGAAAACAGUACAAAAGAUUUCAGCAUAAAGAUGCUGGAUCAUUUGAAAUUCUCCAUCUCUGCAAAAUUCUCAAAUUAGGCUUAUGAAAGCAAUCGGAUUUAGCAAACAGCUAAUUGAACAAAGCAAAAGCUUAUCAGCAAGCCUGGAUUUGGACUGCACUUGUUCCCACAUUCUCUUAGCAGCAACAUGUCUUCAGUGUCCCAGUUGGAACUGCUUGACAAAACUGUAUGGUGCUGUCAAGGCCCUGGAAGGAAAGCAAGGGGUUCAUGAUGUAGAAGGAGUAAACUUAUUAAAGAGAUCCCCAGUGGAGCACUUGUAAUGAGCUGAAGAUUUCUCCAGAGGCCUGUUGCCUGUCUGAUGACAACAGGAAACAUUUUUCUAAACCAGGAGGUUUACAAUCUACAGUGGAGGUGUGCUAUUAAACUGUAGGAUUUUUAUUUCCCCCUAUCUGGC
RNAcentral lists this long non-coding RNA (878 nucleotides) under Ictidomys tridecemlineatus (thirteen-lined ground squirrel). RNAcentral describes it as "lncRNA (ENSSTOG00000032794.1)". Lineage: Eukaryota; Metazoa; Chordata; Mammalia; Rodentia; Sciuridae. The record is from RNAcentral.